Molecule: long non-coding RNA, 1669 nt
Organism: Tachysurus fulvidraco (yellow catfish)
Lineage: Eukaryota; Metazoa; Chordata; Actinopteri; Siluriformes; Bagridae
Exons: 4
Source: RefSeq, a predicted model, not a curated record
UCUUACAACCUUUUGGAACGUGCCGUGAGUAUAAAAGUGGCAACAGCGACUGGAACAGCAAUAGUGUGGAUUGUCUGGAGACAAGAGACAAGCCAGGAGAACAAAACGAAGCAAAGCGACGAAGAACCGAGAGAUGCUGCAGAUGGGGACGUUUCUUUCCGGCCGGAGUAGCGGCACAGUCCGAGGCCUGGCCUGUGCCGCCGGGCUGAUCGUGCUCACCACCACGGGAUACUACGCGUAUCGCAGGCUGAAGAGGACCAGCGACCUUUGAGCUGCUGAACGGGAAGCUGCUCAAGUCCCUGGAGGUACGCAGGUACAUCGCGUGCUUGGUGAGAGGUCCAGAAGUCCUGCUGUGGUGAAUCUCCACCACCACCAAAAUGUCCAGCAAUCAUUGGGUAACAGCAGUCUCCAUUUCGUUUUACAAAACUUUAUUCAAGACCUCGAUCACCUGCAUACAGGUAAGAUCUUGAUUGUUGUAGCACCACAAAGCUUUAGUAAGUACAAAGUAAGUGUAAAAAGUAAAUUUCUGCAUUUUCUCUCAAAUGUGAGUCUGCGGGAGCGUGAGGGCGCUGGUGUCCUGCCAUUAGUAUACGAGACGACCGUCCACGUGCCGUAUGAGGAUGGCGAAGUAAAUUCAUUACGCCAUCUGGUUCUUUGUAAAGUUCGUCUCUGUUACGUUUGUUCGCACUGGCCAUGUUUUACGUUUUUGUUCACAGCAAACCAUUUACCAGGUGAGUCGCUUGUACCAUCGCGCGGACGGUCAGUUGGACAUGUCCCAUGAGGAGGAAGGAAGUUUCUUCACUCCUCAUGCUGACUUUGAAGUUCAGUCUUAAUUUGAGGUGAUUUCAGACCUCGUCCUGAAGCUGCCUGCCAUCUGCGAGGCGUUCUCUGUGAGUCUUUACUCGUCUAGUUUCUCUGAAGACUCCACAAGUUACCCCACAAGCAAGUUCCAGACUGUCUCAACUCAUGUGGUGUGUUCGUCGAACUCGUCUUCUUCAGCUGCUUAAUCACCGGCUUGCCGCCUAAAGCUGUACAGUUGGACGGGGGAUUCUUGCAGCAUAUGAACAGCCAGUGGGACAUGGACAUCAGGGAGCCUGAAGCAGAGCAGCUCUUUUUGCUGCUUUCCUUAAAGGUGACAAUGCUGUUUGAGGAACCGUUCUCGCAGCCUCUGGACCUGUACAUUGACCCAGCAGCUUUAGCCACCACGGUGCUACGACUGGUGAAGGAUCAUGUGCAGAAGAUGCUGAAGGCCAUGGCAGGAGUCUGAGCAACAUCACACUCCUCUGGCACUUACUCACACACACACACACACACACACACACACACACACACACACACACACACACACACACACACACACACACACACACUCACACCUCUGUUUUCUUUCCCUUGCUUUCUCUUUCUCUUCAUUUCACUAUCUCUACAGGUAAGUACUUAUUGCACUGUCUUACUGUGUACACAUUUAAACAUGUCUUUCUUUUCUUCUCUCCCUGAGCAGCUACACAAUACACAACAUCGAUGGCCUGGCCUCUAACAACAACACCUGCAGCUCCAACACCAGUAUCCUUUUUGUUUUUAGUUAAUCUUAGUAUAGAUUUUAUAAGAUUUUUCUUAGUAUAGUAUAAGAUUUAUUAACAUUUUUGUAUACUAUUUAUUAAGACUUUAG